Molecule: long non-coding RNA, 1647 nt
Organism: Anthonomus grandis grandis
Lineage: Eukaryota; Metazoa; Arthropoda; Insecta; Coleoptera; Curculionidae
Exons: 2
Source: RefSeq, a predicted model, not a curated record
UUCCUGGACUUUUUGAAUAGUUUUAUUUUUUAUUACACUAAGUAUUGUAACGAUAUUGGAAACACCGAGAAUACCAGCUGAUUCUACGUCAUCCCAGAAUAACAAAGAACCUUCGGCCGGAAUCAUGGUCAACCGAGUAUAUAAGGAGCGUCGCUAACAGUCAGUUGACAGUUCAGUGUAAUGCAGUUCGGAUUAUUGGCGCGAUAUUUAAAUAAAUCAGUUGACUAUUUUCGUGUAUGGAUUAUUUUAAUUUACAUUUAAUUUAAUUAAAAUGUAUAGGAUAGUUCACUUUCAUUAUUCAAGCCUUCCAGGCAUUUGAGGCCACUUGCCUUUAAUUCCUGGACUUUUUGAACAAUUUUAUUUUUUAUUACUCUAAGUAUUGUAACGAUAUUGGAAACGCAGAGAAUACCAGCUGAUUCUACGUCAUUCCAGAAUAACACAGAACCUUCGGCCAGAAUCAUGGUCAGCCGAGUAUAUAAGAAGCGUCGCUAACAGUCAGUUGACAGUUCAGUGUAAUGCAGCUCGGAAGAUUGGCGCGAUAUUUAAAUAAAUCAGUUGACUAUUUUCGUGUAUGGAUUAUUUUAAUUCCCAUUUAAUUUAAUUAAAAUGUAUAGGAUAGUUCACUUUCAAUUUUCAAGCCUUCCAGGCAUUCGAGGCCACUUGCAUUUAAUUCUUGGACUUUUUGAAUAAUUUUAUUUUUUAUUACACUAAGUAUUGUAACGAUACUGGAAACGCCUAGAAUAACAGCUGAUUCUACGUCAUUCCAGAAUAACACAGAACCUUCGGUCGGAAUCAUGGUCAGCCGAGUAUAUAAAGAGCGUCGCUAACAGUCAGUUGACAGUUCAGUGUAAUGCAGUUCGGAUUAUUGGCGCGAAAUUUAAAUAAAUCAGUUGACUAUUUUCGUGUAUAGAUUAUUUUAAUUCACAUUUUAUUUAAUUUACAUGUAUAGAAUAGUUCACUUUCAUUUUUUAUUUUAAUCCAGACAAUCGAAGUCAUUUUUCAAGCUUCCCAGGCAUUUGAGGCCACUUGCAUUUAAUUCCCGGACUUUUUGAAUAAUUUUAUUUUUUAUUACACUAAGUAUUGUAACGAUACUGGAAAUGCCUAGAAUACCAGCUGAUUCUACGUCAUACCAGAAUAACAUAGAACCUUCGGCCGGAAUCAUGGUCAGCCGAGUAUAUAAGGAGCGUCGCUAACAGUCAUUGACAGUUCAGUGUAUGCAAUUCGGAAUAUUAGCGCGAUAUUUAAAUAAAUCAGUUGACUAUUUUCGUGUAUGGAUUAUUUUAAUUUACAUUUAAUUUAAUUAAAAUGUAUAGGAUAGUUUACUUUCAUUUUUUAUUUUAAUCCAGACAAUGGAAGUAUAUUUUCAAGCUUUCCAGUAUGGUAACGAUAUUGGAAACACCGAGAAUACCAGCUGAUUCUACGUCAUCCCAGAAUAACACAGAACCUUCGGCCGGAAUCAUGGUCAGCCGAGUAUAUAAGGAGCGUCGCUAACAGUCAUGGACAGUUCAGUGUAAUGCAAUUCGGAAUAUUGGCGCGAUAUUUAAAUAAAUCAGUUGACUAUUUUCGUGUAUGGAUUAUUUUAAUUUACGUCAGUUUAAUUUACAUAAAAUAUAUUUUUUUCUUUUGACAAAUAAACGAUUUUGUUGC